GAUGAACGCUAGCUACAGGCUUAACACAUGCAAGUCGAGGGGAAACGACAGAGGAAGCUUGCUUCCUUUGGGCGUCGACCGGCGCACGGGUGAGUAACGCGUAUCCAACCUUCCCAUGUCCACGGGAUAGCCCGUCGAAAGGCGGAUUAAUACCGUAUGAGGUCACAUGCGGGCAUCUAAUUGUGACGAAAGGUUUAGCGGACAUGGAUGGGGAUGCGUCCGAUUAGCUAGUUGGCGGGGUAACGGCCCACCAAGGCGACGAUCGGUAGGGGUUCUGAGAGGAAGGUCCCCCACAUUGGAACUGAGACACGGUCCAAACUCCUACGGGAGGCAGCAGUGAGGAAUAUUGGUCAAUGGACGCAAGUCUGAACCAGCCAAGUAGCGUGCAGGAUGACGGCCCUAUGGGUUGUAAACUGCUUUUAUGCGGGGAUAAAGUUAGGGAUGUAUCCCUUUUUGCAGGUACCGCAUGAAUAAGGACCGGCUAAUUCCGUG
This 492-nucleotide ribosomal RNA is filed under the name uncultured bacterium. Its description in RNAcentral is "bacterial SSU rRNA". It matches the Rfam family "Bacterial small subunit ribosomal RNA", at positions 28 to 507 of the family's 1533-position model. The record is from RNAcentral.